Molecule: ribosomal RNA, 254 nt
Filed under: uncultured bacterium
Lineage: Bacteria
Description: partial 16S ribosomal RNA
Rfam family: Bacterial small subunit ribosomal RNA
Source: RNAcentral
UACGUAGGGGGCGAGCGUUGUCCGGAUUUAUUGGGCGUAAAGAGCUCGUAGGCGGUUUGGUAAGUCGGGUGUGAAAACCCCAGGCUCAACCUGGGGACGCCACCUGAUACUGCUAUGACUUGAGUCUGGUAGGGGACCACGGAAUUCCUGGUGUAGCGGUGAAAUGCGCAGAUAUCAGGAGGAACACCGGUGGCGAAGGCGGUGGUCUGGGCCAGUACUGACGCUGAGGAGCGAAAGCGUGGGGAGCAAACAGG